AUAAGAUUAUUCCAUCAAGCCUUCAAGAGGAGGAAGGCAACUUGAAUCCCAAUAAAUCCGAUCCUCAUAGUUUUGAUUUGAUUUCAAUUCCAAUUCAAGAUAAUUUCAGUUUUGAUUUAGAUUUUGAUUUGAUUUAAAUUGAGAUGAUCUAACAAUUGAACAAUUUUUGAAACUUCUCAGAAAAUUCAUAAUUUAAAUUAAAUUGUCAAUUGUAAUCAAUCUGGUUCGGCAAUACCUAAGCAAUUCUAUCAUGGUCCCUGUCCAUAAUUUGGUUACAGUUGUAUGGGAUUGAAAUUGAUUUGUGAUAGAUGGGCUGGGCAUAUGUUCACGUUAUUAUCCUCAACUUUAUAAUCAUUUUUUUUUUAAAAUUUGAUGCAAUA
This 380-nucleotide unclassified non-coding RNA is filed under the name Hevea brasiliensis (rubber tree). The record is from RNAcentral. Lineage: Eukaryota; Viridiplantae; Streptophyta; Magnoliopsida; Malpighiales; Euphorbiaceae.